UUAAUGGAGAGUUUGAUCCUGGCUCAGGACGAACGCUGGCGGCGUGCCUAAUACAUGCAAGUCGAGCGAGGUUGUGUAGAAGCUUGCUUCUACACAACCUAGCGGCGGACGGGUGAGUAACACGUAGGCAACCUGCCCACAAGACAGGGAUAACUACCGGAAACGGUAGCUAAUACCCGAUAUAUCCUUUUCCUGCAUGGGAGAAGGAGGAAAGACGGAGUUAUCUGUCACUUGUGGAUGGGCCUGCGGCGCAUUAGCUAGUUGGUGGGGUAAAGGCCUACCAAGGCGACGAUGCGUAGCCGACCUGAGAGGGUGAUCGGCCACACUGGGACUGAGACACGGCCCAGAC
RNAcentral lists this ribosomal RNA (349 nucleotides) under Paenibacillus polymyxa. RNAcentral's name for it is "bacterial SSU rRNA". It matches the Rfam family "Bacterial small subunit ribosomal RNA", at positions 1 to 336 of the family's 1533-position model. The record is from RNAcentral. Lineage: Bacteria; Bacillati; Bacillota; Bacilli; Caryophanales; Paenibacillaceae.